RNAcentral lists this unclassified non-coding RNA (330 nucleotides) under Hevea brasiliensis (rubber tree). Lineage: Eukaryota; Viridiplantae; Streptophyta; Magnoliopsida; Malpighiales; Euphorbiaceae. The record is from RNAcentral.
UGUUUGCUUUUCUUAAAUAUUCACUUGAGACACCUUGCUUUCUAUUCUCCCAUAAACCUUAGAACAUUAUUUGUAAUGGUGUUUGCAUCUGUUGGGUUGAGGGUUAGGCAGUUAUUGUGAUCCUUCUGGUCCUGAUAGAAUGAACAGGAACGAAGUGGUUAAAUUUGGGCCUUUCGCUACAAAUUGUGGCAGAUGCUGAUUGCGCAUUGCUGGGAUAUGCGUUUUCUUGUUUGGUGUUUUUGUAUAAGUUAAACAAUCAUCGGAUCCUCCCUCCUUGGCAUGCUUGUUGGUUAUUAUAUCCACUAGUUCUUUAUUUUUGUAUUAGUUUCG